Molecule: long non-coding RNA, 1435 nt
Organism: Sinocyclocheilus grahami
Lineage: Eukaryota; Metazoa; Chordata; Actinopteri; Cypriniformes; Cyprinidae
Exons: 3
Source: RefSeq, a predicted model, not a curated record
AUUGGUUUCACCUGGGAAAGCUGACAAUCGUGGACUUGCUUUCAGGAUCCCGACUUUUAAUUCAAUUUGAACAUGCACAUAGCAAAGGCACGAACAAAAGUUGAUGUGCACAAAUGCCUAUGGAUAAACAUCAACGCAUAUUGCAUGAAACAUGCAGGCAAUGGGAGGACAGCUAAAGAUGCAGCGAAUGACUUCUGUAAAACAGGAAUCGAAAGGCUUGUACCUGGGACAGAUGCCAAAUGCUGACAAAAGACUCUUUCGGGAGCCUUAACUCUUUAUUUCAGGACGUGUGUCAGAUCGUGAUUUGGCACUCUGAGUAAGUACAUGUACCUGAUAUCAAUAUUUUCUCUCGCAGCUUUAAGCGACUCCCCGCUCCUGAGGGAUAGGCUGAGAUUUGCUUAUUUCGCUUGGUUUCGGACCAAGUUCCACUCCUCGCCUCCAGGCCCGAGCCAGGUGACGGUGUUUAGCAUUUUGUGCCAACACCCAUAGAGGUAUUAAACAUGGAGGACUGGCUGCUAACCCAACAACAACAGACGAAGCCAAAGAGCGAGCCGCAAGGUGGUCGCAAGAGUUGCCGCCUUGUUUUCUUUUCCUUUCUCAUGCUGUUGUGACCUCUCUUCUCUUGGCAGCGGGGCUGAAGUGGGCAGGCGAAUAGGAGGGCAUAGCUGAAUCUGCUUAGCGCUGGCAGGGGUUUGUGUAAGAAGGGCUGUUCGCUCGCACACCUCUCUCUCUGCUUUUCCCCUUGUCUUGCGAGCGACGUGGAAACGGUCUCUCCUCUUCUUUCUUCCUCCCUGCUGUUUCUUUUUCCGGUUGUCGUACAGUACAGUCGUACUUUUUACCCCAUCCGGAGUCUCCCGCGAUGGCCCACGAAAAGCUCUCACUCAGGAACAAAGUCACAGACCCUUUAUCGGGGAAAAUAUUUUGGUAAUCACCUGCAAUUCUGAAGCAAUAACACCAGAAACAGCAUCACAUUAUGAAGAAAAAGAGCCUUGUGGAUAACAGCCGAACCCUGGGACAUCCAGCUGCCUGACACUCGCCAGAGCAGUGCAUCACUUCUUGAUUACUCAGCCCUUUAACUGAUCCAACAUCUCAAUUAUGAGACUCUCCGCCGGGUCCCCGCUGUCUCGGCCAACUGCCAGGCCAAAACAUUUCAAUCACUGCCAUUAAUUAGGCCAAAGAGGAAUUCAGAAUGUUAAUGUCCUGCACCAGUGUCUUUCAGUUCCUCGGUUCACAUGCUAAUUUAUGCAAAGACACGGUGCCGCCGUCCCGCCCCUUUGCCAUGGCAGUCCAUUCUUUUGGCCCCCCCAGGUGACCCCCGUCUGCCACCACAGCUCCAUCAUGCUGGGACGCCAUCAUCUGUGUAUUAUAACAAUGCAAACAUUUCUAUUUCAUGUAUAUAUAAUUGUUGAUCAUAUAUAUAUAUACAGUGGCAUGU